GCAGCCGCGGUAAUACGGAAGGUCCAGGCGUUAUCCGGAUUUAUUGGGUUUAAAGGGAGCGCAGGCGGCGGCGUAAGUCAGUUGUGAAAUCGUGCGGCUUAACCGUGCAAUUGCAGUUGAUACUGCGUCGCUUGAGUGCACACAGGGAUGUUGGAAUUCAUGGUGUAGCGGUGAAAUGCUUAGAUAUCAUGAAGAACUCCGAUCGCGAAGGCAUAUGUCCGGAGUGCAACUGACGCUGAGGCUCGAAAGUGUGGGUAUCAAACAGGAUUAGAUACCCC
Molecule: ribosomal RNA, 278 nt
Filed under: uncultured Alloprevotella sp.
Lineage: Bacteria; Pseudomonadati; Bacteroidota; Bacteroidia; Bacteroidales; Prevotellaceae
Description: partial 16S ribosomal RNA
Rfam family: Bacterial small subunit ribosomal RNA
Source: RNAcentral